Molecule: long non-coding RNA, 224 nt
Filed under: Lathyrus oleraceus (garden pea)
Lineage: Eukaryota; Viridiplantae; Streptophyta; Magnoliopsida; Fabales; Fabaceae
Description: Pisum sativum (pea) long non-coding RNA (PSAT_LNC023070)
Source: RNAcentral
AUUUUUCUUUCUCUUUUUCUUUUUUUUUCAAAUAAACUCUGGGGGUAAAUUUUACUCUUUUGACUCUUUUUCUACUCGAAUUUUUGUGAGCAUUUUGUAGGUGUGAGAUUCUUAGGUAUCGGCAAGUGCAUUUUUCUCUUUUUUUUUCUUUUUUUCUUCUUCUGUUGGACAUACACUAAUAUUUUCUUUUUGUAUGAUCUCUUAUUAUGCACUUGCCCUCUCUU